RNAcentral lists this ribosomal RNA (25 nucleotides) under Ischnocnema guentheri (Steindachner's robber frog). RNAcentral's name for it is "partial 12S ribosomal RNA". Lineage: Eukaryota; Metazoa; Chordata; Amphibia; Anura; Brachycephalidae. The record is from RNAcentral.
AGACACCGGAAGGUGCGCUUGGUAA